Molecule: ribosomal RNA, 434 nt
Filed under: uncultured Ruminococcus sp.
Lineage: Bacteria; Bacillati; Bacillota; Clostridia; Eubacteriales; Oscillospiraceae
Description: bacterial SSU rRNA
Rfam family: Bacterial small subunit ribosomal RNA
Source: RNAcentral
ACGGAAGGCAGCAGUGGGGAAUAUUGCACAAUGGGCGGAAGCCUGAUGCAGCGAUGCCGCGUGGAGGAAGAAGGUUUUCGGAUUGUAAACUCCUUUUAUCAGGGACGAUAAUGACGGUACCUGAAGAAAAAGCUCCGGCUAACUACGUGCCAGCAGCCGCGGUAAUACGUAGGGAGCGAGCGUUGUCCGGAAUUACUGGGUGUAAAGGGUGCGUAGGCGGGGAUGCAAGUCAGAUGUGAAAUGUAUGGGCUCAACCCAUGAACUGCAUUUGAAACUGUAGCCCUUGAGUAUCGGAGAGGCAAGCGGAAUUCCUAGUGUAGCGGUGAAAUGCGUAGAUAUUAGGAGGAACACCAGUGGCGAAGGCGGCUUGCUGGACGACAACUGACGCUGAGGCGCGAAAGCGUGGGGAGCAAACAGGAUUAGAUACCCUGGUA